ACAUGUCAUUCCAUACAAGACCAUAGAAAACUCCAAUGAAACACCUUCUGUAGAUGACCUCAUGUAUAACUCAUAGGAUGAAGUGAUGAAGAUCUGCUUGCCUGCACGCAAGAAUGAGUACAUUCAGCAUAAUGGAAAACAUCAGCAGCACUAUGAAGAAUUAGUAAAGAAACUGACAGCCAACAAACAUGAAGAAUUCAAAUCCUGAAUUUGAUAUUUUCAGUGGAUGAUCUUGUACCAAAAGAUUGUGCAGAGUACUUUGUGUACAUGAUUAUAGAUUGGGCACCUCCCUAAGAGACCGUGCAGAUGAACCUGUCCAGCCAAGGAAACUGCAACUCGCUGACAACUUUAGACACAUUGCCUGUUAGAGAGGACCAGGAUAAAGGUGCAUCAGAGGAACUCACUGGCUUUUGUUCUUUCAGUGUAUAUGUCACUAGCCAAGACCUCAUGCAUAUCAGAGUCAAGCAUCAGCUUCUCACGGGGGCAGGGGGACACAAUAGCUGGACAAUUUAUUUUCCUUCUCUUUUAAAAAUUCUUUCUCUUUACCAAUCUUUUACUUUCCGAUGUGAAAGAAACGGGUGCUGAAUAAUCCUGAAUAAGAACAGCUAUAGCAUAAGGAUUCUCAGCAUAAAGAAUUGGAGAACACCGGAAAGAGAUGCCCAACAAUGAGAGAUGGAUAUUUAAUUACAUGUAAAAAGAAAGAAAGAAAGAUGAGACACAAGCCAACCAACACAAACCGAGCAUAAGGCAUGAACAGCCUUGCGUGAGUCAAGUGAAGAACACUAAACUGGAGUAGACUGACCAGGAGGGAGUGCUGGCGUGAAUGCUGAUGUGCUGCUGUAGCUAGAGAACUUGUAUUAGGAUCUCUACACUUUGAUAAGGAACAAAGAGAAACCAAGUAGUACAUGAGUUAGAGUCACAGAGGACUGAAUUGAAAUCACCUUAGCACACAUCCAUGCAUGUUUCUUAAACCCAUUAGUUCAAGUUUUUUUAUUUUUAAUUUCUGAAAAGAGUACCACCUGUACCAUAUCAUCUUGAUAAAUAUCAUAAAACAUAUUGUGGCACAAUGUGGUAUUUACUAAAAUGUUCAGUCCACAGUAAAAUACCAACUUUAUCAGUAUCCAUUUGUAGGAGGCAUGUAGGUCUAGAUUUAUCAUAAAAAGUAACUAUGAUUCACCAGGAGGAGAAAAUUAUAAGGGACUACAGUUUAACCUGAAAGCAAAUAGAGAAAACAAUGAAUGUCUCAACAGAUGAAUAAACUCAGGUAGUCAAAUUCAGAGGUACCCAUGCUCAAUUCAAGCCAAGUUAACAAUAAUGAAAAAUGCUGCUCCAUAAUUAGAGAAACAAAAACGUACUCCACGGGCUUGGGAAAGGCAAUGGGUAUAGAGCUUUCUGUGCAUGCAUGAGGACUCCAGGCAGAUCCCAAGACCCACAUCAUAGCUAGGUAUGGCAGUAUGUGUGGUCCUGAAACUGGUGGAAUAGAAAUAUGUGAAUCUCAGAGUCCAGCCUGCCUAAACAAGGUGAGCUCCAGAUUCAAUGGUACACUCUCUAAAAAGUUAAGAUAGACAACCUCAGGUUUAUACAGAGAGAGAGAGAGAGAGAGAGAGAGAGAGAGAGAGAGAGAGAGAGAGAAAGGCAAGCCUACUUAAUUAGUCUAUUUGAUACCACAAGUAUGUAAUAUGAUAAUAAAAAUAAAAAAUAAAAUGGAAAAUAUUUU
This 1717-nucleotide long non-coding RNA is filed under the name Mus pahari (shrew mouse). Its description in RNAcentral is "predicted gene 11217 (MGP_PahariEiJ_G0006181.1)". The record is from RNAcentral. Lineage: Eukaryota; Metazoa; Chordata; Mammalia; Rodentia; Muridae.